This 150-nucleotide ribosomal RNA is filed under the name uncultured eukaryote. RNAcentral's name for it is "partial small subunit ribosomal RNA". It matches the Rfam family "Eukaryotic small subunit ribosomal RNA", at positions 1651 to 1799 of the family's 1831-position model. The record is from RNAcentral.
CCCUGCCAUUUGUACACACCGCCCGUCGUUACUACCGAUUGAAUGACUUAGUGAGGCCUCGGGAUUGGCGGCCGGGCCGGCAACGGCUGCACGGCCACCGAGAACCUGUCCAAACUUGGUCAUUUAGAGGAAGUACAAGUCGUAACAAGG